ACUCCUUCUAAAGCUAAAUAUCACCACGAGACCGAUAGCGAACAAGUACCGUGAGGGAAAGUUGAAAAGCACUCUGAAUAGAGAGUCAAAAAGUACGUGAAACUGCCUAGGGCACAAGCCCGUUGAACUCGAUUAUCCGAGCGGAGACAUUCACCUGCGGUUGGCCCGUCGUCGUCGGUUUCGCCGCCGGCGGGCCCCGCCGCAGGGCACUUGUCUACCGCGUUCCAAGAGGACACUGCGAUCCAUUACGAAACAGCUUUCGCGUCGCGAGACGCAAGGUCGCCCGACAGUUGCCCCCUGGUGCCGGUUGGUUGUCCCACAGUAGCGACGCUCAGUUCCGAAGGCCUGUGCCGCGAGGUGGGGCUUACUGCACGUGGUGCUCUGCAGUCGGGCGCGUGAUGGAUUCCCGCGCACACCGGCGGUCUUCCCGUACAGGGCCGCCGGACUGUCGAUCGGCAGUGAAAGAAUCGAGGUACCUUCGGGACCCGUCUUGAAACACGGACCAAGAAGUCUAUCUUGCGCGCAAGCCAAUGGUCGUCCUCCGGAGCACCAAAGGCGCAGAAAACAUAACUUGACAUUUAUGCGGGAUUACGGGCGCGGCUCUCUGCUCGUCCCUCCAUCCCCGGGUGUUGUAACCGGCAUGCGGCCACCGGUUAGCCCCUCACCGGGCGCCGGCACCGUGCCACAACAUACCGCGAGUGUGCAGGAUGUGACCCGAAAGAUGGUGAACUAUGCCUGAUCAGGUUGAAGUCAGGGGAAACCCUGAUGGAGGACCGAAGCAGUUCUGACGU
This 791-nucleotide ribosomal RNA is filed under the name Aedes cozi. Its description in RNAcentral is "eukaryotic LSU rRNA". It matches the Rfam family "Eukaryotic large subunit ribosomal RNA", at positions 303 to 892 of the family's 3401-position model. The record is from RNAcentral. Lineage: Eukaryota; Metazoa; Arthropoda; Insecta; Diptera; Culicidae.